This 253-nucleotide ribosomal RNA is filed under the name uncultured bacterium. RNAcentral describes it as "partial 16S ribosomal RNA". It matches the Rfam family "Bacterial small subunit ribosomal RNA", at positions 524 to 776 of the family's 1533-position model. The record is from RNAcentral.
UACGUAGGGUGCAAGCGUUGUCCGGAAUUAUUGGGCGUAAAGAGCUCGUAGGCGGUUUGUCGCGUCUGCUGUGAAAACUCGGGGCUUAACCCCGGGCCUGCAGUGGGUACGGGCAGACUAGAGUGCGGUAGGGGAGACUGGAAUUCCUGGUGUAGCGGUGAAGUGCGCAGAUAUCAGGAGGAACACCGGUGGCGAAGGCGGGUCUCUGGGUCGAUACUGACGCUCAUGCACGAAAGCGUGGGGAGCAAACAGG